AAACAAUCCAUCAUCCAAACAGAUAAUCGUUGACAGUGAACUCUGGGAGUCAUGACCAUUGAGUGACUGGAGGCGGUCCUGUCCUGCAAGAGGCUCACACAGCCUUCCAGCCAUGACUUCUUCCCUAAGGGUUGCUUUCUGGCUGAUCUGCUUGGGGCACCUGGGCAUCCUACCAAUGAGAUCAAAGUUCCUGCUGCCCUGAGAAGUUAGUUUUGCUGAUGCUUCCUCUGAUCCCUCAACCAGCCUGGACUCCACCCAGAUCUCUAAGAGGUGCCACCUCCUUUCAAGUUCCUUUGUUGUUUCCCAGAAGCUGUGCCCUUUCAUUACUUUUCCCAAAUAUUUCCUGCCUACCUCUCCACUUCCACACCGGCUCCACUGCUGGUGCUACUGAUUUCAGGUAUGUAUUUUCCCACUCAAAUGAAAUAGGAGUUUGCAGUC
This is a long non-coding RNA of Neogale vison (American mink), 438 nucleotides long. RefSeq lists it as uncharacterized. The record is from RefSeq and is a predicted model, not a curated record. The transcript has 3 exons. NCBI's taxonomy places the organism in Eukaryota, Metazoa, Chordata, Mammalia, Carnivora, Mustelidae.